Cinara cedri is the source of this 505-nucleotide non-coding RNA. The record is from the annotation of a GenBank genome assembly. NCBI's taxonomy places the organism in Eukaryota, Metazoa, Arthropoda, Insecta, Hemiptera, Aphididae.
CACAGCUUAAACCGUGACCCGGAGUACGCGGUUAUCAUGCAUUAGUUCUAUCCAUAGUAUAUUAUCUAAGGUUCAAACGAUCAAAUAUCUGAUUAAAUUAUCCGUAAUUAAAAUUCUGUAGCGAUUGGUGAAAUAUAAUCGGCGCAAAUUUAAUUUGUACAAUAAUUAUCAUAGGUAGUACCGACAGCGCGUAAAAAUCUGGAAUGGACAAUUUUUAAAAAUAUAAAUCUUGAAUCCAAUGAUUUAUGAUUAUCGAAAUUUAAACCGUACAACCUGGAAUGUCAGUGUCUGGAAUAUAAAAAUUUUGAAAAAUAAUUUACUUUGUACUUUCCAGAUAUGUAUUUUAAAGAAUUUCCAGUUUUGCACAUUUAAGGUUUGUGCAUUCCAGAUUUUUACGCGCUCCCCUCGGUAAGUUAGAGUAGAUAAAAUACUAAUAAAAGCCGCUAAUACCUUUCUCGGCCUUUUAUAUCAGUCACUGUUUCUAUUUAUCUCACAUCAAUCAGUA